Molecule: ribosomal RNA, 2750 nt
Filed under: human gut metagenome
Description: bacterial LSU rRNA
Rfam family: Bacterial large subunit ribosomal RNA (bases 1889-2739)
Source: RNAcentral
AGCAGUUGGUCAAAGAACAUUUGGAUGACAUUCUGCAAUCCACCGCAGAGCCUGUGGAGGUCGCCAUCCGCCUUUGCCUCUACUGCAUGAAAACGCAGAUUUUCAACGACGGUAACAAGCGCGCCGCCGUGAUCUUCGCCAACCACUAUCUGAUCUCCAAGGGCGGCGGUCUGUUGGUGAUCCCAGAGAGCCAUGUGCCGGAGUUCAAGCGCCUGCUGGUGAGUUAUUAUGAGGGGCGGGAUGACGGAAGCAUCAUGACUUUCAUGCGGGAGAAGUGUUGGAAGACGUUUUAAAAUAUAUUAGGGAACUUUUGAAUCAGAAUUUGGCAAAAAGGUUCCCUAAACAAUACUCCUAAAAAUCACUUGUCUUUCAUUGAAGUAUCUUGAAAACGACAGGUAACGGCCAAUAGCACAUCUAUGCACCAUUUGUAAAUUAGGGCUUCAGAAGCAUGCGGAAAAAGGAAAGCAGUACAUCAUGUGUACCAGCAUGAUGCCCCCGCAAAUCCGUUAUCCUCUAUAGCCCCAAAAGUUUUGGGAACUAACUACUACCGCGAAAAUCGAUGCGAGUCUUGCAGCACAAAGCAUCUUUUGAGAUAGGCACUUAUUCGUUGAAAUGUUAUCGGAUAAAUCCAGGAACAUUUCAAUGGGAUUCUUGAUUUUCUUCCAAAAUGAUGUAUAAUGUCCAUUGAAAAGUUGUAAGAUAAUACAGGUAAGUUUUCAACGGAGGUUGCAUCAUGGAAAUAAAACGAGAUCGCUAUUUGAAGAAAAUCAUUUUCUUUAUGUGGGAUGGUCAAGUGAAGGUCAUCACAGGUAUUCGCCGCUGCGGUAAGUCCUAUCUGUUGCACACAUUGUUCAAGAAUUACCUUCUCGGCGAAGGGGUGGCCGAGGACCAUAUUCUGUCCUUUGAGCUGGACUUGACCCGUGAUAUUCGCUAUCGUAAUCCGUUGGAGCUUGCCUCUCAUGUUCGGGAAAUCGUGGAACACAGCGCAGGCCAAUAUUAUCUCUUUGUAGACGAAAUUCAGAUGUCCGAUGAAGUUCCGAAUCCAUACAAUCCGGACGGGAAGAAGAUCACCUUUUACGACGCCCUCAACGAUUUGAAGUCCUUGUCCAACUUAGACAUUUAUGUGACCGGCAGCAACUCCAAAAUGCUGUCCUCGGACAUCCUGACGGAGUUCCGGGGGCGCAGCGAUGAGAUCCGUGUGCAUCCGCUUUCCUUUGCCGAAUACUACUCGGCUGUCGGCGGCGAUAAGCAGGACGCCUUUGACAACUACGCAUUCUACGGCGGUAUGCCGCUGAUCCUCUCCCGCCCCAACGACGCCGCUAAAAUGGCCUAUCUGAAAUCGUUGUUUUCCGGGGUCUAUCUGAAGGACAUUGUAGAGCGAAAGAAGAUCAAGCGGGAGGAUGUGCUGUCCGCGAUUCUUGAUCUGCUGUGUUCGUCCAUCGGCUCUCUGACCAAUCCGACAAAAGUUGCAGCCGCCAUCAACACCGUGCAGAAGCGCAGCGGGGAGAAUGUCGUUGCCCUGAACACCGUGAAAGCCUAUAUGGAUCAUUUGUCGGACUCCUUCCUCUUUACCGAAUGCAAACGCUGGGAUGUGAAGGGCAAGAGCUAUUUUGACUAUCCCAACAAGUAUUACUGCGAGGACAUUGGACUGCGAAAUGCCCGCAUCGGCUUCCGUCAGCAGGAAAUGACGCGUAUCACGGAGAACAUCAUUUUCAAUGAGCUGAUGAUCCGUGAAUGCUCCGUUGACAUUGGCAUCGUCUAUAGCAAUGAGAAAAUGCCAAAGGAAGGACCACUCCGGUCGCGCGGGAAAUCGACUUCAUUGCAGCCUCCGGCGGCAAGAAGACCUACAUUCAGUCCGCCUAUGCGCUGGGAACGGAGGAAAAGGCCAUCACCGAGAAUAAGCCCUUCGCGCUGACCGGCGAUUCUUUCCCGAAGCUUAUUGUGCGUCAUGACAUUCGCAUGCAUGUACAGGCUAGGUGGGAGACGAAGAGGGCAGGACGCCAGUCUUGUCGGAGUCGCUGUUGGGAUACCACCCUUGUGGUACUGGAUUUCUAACCAACCUCCGUGACCCGGAGGUGGGACAAUGUCAGGUGGGGAGUUUGACUGGGGCGGUCGCCUCCGAAAGGGUAUCGGAGGCGCUCAAAGGUUCCCUCAGAAUGGUUGGAAACCAUUCGAAGAGUGCAAAGGCAGAAGGGAGCUUGACUGCGACACCGACGGGUGGAGCAGGUACGAAAGUAGGACUUAGUGAUCCGGUGGUAUAAAGUGGGAUUGCCAUCGCUCAACGGAUAAAAGCUACCCUGGGGAUAACAGGCUUAUCACUCCCAAGAGUUCACAUCGACGGAGUGGUUUGGCACCUCGAUGUCGGCUCAUCGCAUCCUGGGGCUGUAGCAGGUCCCAAGGGUUGGGCUGUUCGCCCAUUAAAGCGGUACGCGAGCUGGGUUCAGAACGUCGUGAGACAGUUCGGUCCCUAUCCGGCGCGGGCGGAGGAUAUUUGAGAGGAGCUGUCCUUAGUACGAGAGGACCGGGAUGGACGGACCACUGGUGUAUCUGUUGUCGACCAACGGCAUGGCAGAGUAGCCAAGUCUGGAAGGGAUAAACGCUGAAGGCAUCUAAGCGUGAAGCCCCCCUCAAGAUGAGAUAUCCCUCCUUCGGGAGUAAGACCCCUUGAAGACUACAAGGUAGAUAGGGCAGAGGUGGAAGCAUGGCAACAUGUGGAGCUGACUGUUACUAAUAGGUCGAGGGCUUAAUCU